Long non-coding RNA from Populus nigra (black poplar), 1057 nucleotides. RefSeq lists it as uncharacterized. NCBI's taxonomy places the organism in Eukaryota, Viridiplantae, Streptophyta, Magnoliopsida, Malpighiales, Salicaceae. The transcript is spliced from 2 exons. The record is from RefSeq and is a predicted model, not a curated record.
UUGCAGCUGCAGUCCAACUAUUUGCAUUUCAAAACUUUUGAUUUUUUUAUUGUUUUAAAAUUUAUUAUUUUUAUAUUUUUGAUUCGUUUUGAUAUGAUAAUAUAAAAAAUAUAUUAUUUUAAUAUAUUUUAAAAUAAAAAACACUUCAAAAAAAUAUCUUCCUUUCACAUUUCCAAAACACUCAGGUCAUCAAACUCUAUAUGGCAAAAAAUCCGAUGCACAGUCUCCAUUCAAGCAUGACCUCCCCCGUCCGCUAUUCGUGCUUGGGCUUGGAAGAUUUCGGACACCCAUAUUUAUCAAAUCUGACGAAUUUCACCAGAGUCAGGGCCCCAAUCACAUACCGUAUACGUGCUUGCGACAUCUCCAGGAGUAUCCAUCUCAUGAUCAAGUUUUAGCUCAGUUCUUGCCUACGUUGUUAGCACAUUCAAGAUGAGAAGCUCAGUUCUUUUUGUGGUCUCAUUCAUUCAUGACUGGUCUGCUCUUGCUUUCUUCUCAUGAAGGUAAUGUUGCACGAGGGGACGACUUCUUUCAAGGUUUUCUUCUUUUUUAAGCGUUUUACCUUUUCCUUUACCUAAUAUAAUCAACGGAUUAAUUGAAUUACCAUGUUUCCUGGGCAUUUUCCUUAACAAAAGCCAAUGGGAUAUCACAAUAUUUAGUGCAGAUCACAAACACAUAUCCACAAGUACCCAUUGCUGAUAUCCAUCUCAACUGUAAAGACUUCAGCUCUGCCAUCCUUGUUAGCCCUGAGACAUUCAGGCGCAUUGCCGUGGAUGACUGCCUGGUCAACGACGGAAGAGCACUAGCUCCCGGUGCAGCAUACGCCAACACCAAGCAAUACCCCCUUCCACAUGUUAAGUCAUCCGUAGAAUUUUUUUUAGUUUUAUGCGGUUUCAGCACUGUUGCUAGUCAAGCACUCCUCCUCUCUUCUUUUCAGUCUAUUCGAUCCAUUUAAGCAAAGCACAGAUUUCUUAUUUAAUUCCCUCUCUCUUUGAUUUCAUAAUGAGUUCAUAACCCGUGAAGAAGACAUACAUGAUAAAAAUACAAGUCUGAUUGCCCA